UGGAUAUUUUACUGAUAUAUAUGGAAUCACUUUAGAUAUUUUUAGGAUUUUUUUUUGAAUAUUUUACUCAUUUUUUGAAAAUAUUUACAAGAAUUUUCUUGCCAAAUUUGGGGGAUUUUUUAAAAAUAAAACUUUUAAGGGAAACUUUUAAGGAAUUAUUGGAAUUUUCAUCCUGAAGGUUUUGAAAUUUGGGGAAUUUUUUUUCUGAAUUUUUGUAUUUUUUUCAGACAAGGAAACCAUAUUUUUUGGUGCCCGUGAAUGAGGACAACAGGAGGGUUAAUCAAAACAAAACCACUUAAAUGUGUUUUGUUUUCUUUAUUUGUGCACAAAAUCAGUUUGGAUUGUGAAGAUUUUACACUAAUAUUUAUGUAAUUUAUUGUAAAAGUAUGUGAUUUUCCCCUUAAAGUCCUAAAAGAUAAGAUUCUUCAGUUUAAUGCACACAAGAUAAUAGAUUAUAUUAACAUUUCAGAUCAGCCACAACACUAAAACCACAGGCAGGUGAAGUAAAUCACAUGGAUUAUUAAAGAUUAAUGAGAUUAAAGAAGCCUUUAUCAUCAAUGCACAUGAAAAUACAAUGAAAUUCUGCUCGUCGUAGUGGACACUUUUUAAGAAAACGUCACAACUGGAUAAAUAGAAUGUAAGACUAUAUAUAUGGAAAUAUAUAUAAAAAUUGUGAUUAUAAUGCAGUUUUCUGUUGGAAACCUUGAGUCCUGGCAUUCAUGUGGAAGUUGCUUUGACAAGAGCCACCCAUUAAAACGUUCUUUAGUCACGUCCCAACAGAAGAAGCCUUCCUCCGCUGAAACAAUCUGCCCUACUAAACUGUAAAACUGCUCAGGAAUGACUCGAGGAACACGACCAAGAGCCUCAAGACUCCCCAGAUCACAAGCUGGGAACAAGCUUGAUCCAUGGCGACAGAAUCAGCUGUCAAAGCACCAGAGUCUGACACCACAGGACACCUCUAGAUGUCCAUAUUUCAGUGGGUCAAAGCUGUUUUGGCAGCACAAAAAGAACCUACACAAUAAUAAUGUUUUAAUUAAUGUUGUGGCUCGUUGCUGUGACUCCUGCACAAGAUCUCAGAUCAAUAACUUGGUUGUAAAAGUAUUUAAUCUCAUGUUUAAAGGCCAGAUUAGCUCGUUAGCUUUGAAAUCAGCUGACUGGUUCAUCUGGGGCUCAGUUGCCAAUUUUGGCCUGAUGUCUGCACAAGAUUAAAAUAAGCUCUGUGAACUUCAGGAUCACUGGAAGAACAGGUUUUGAAUUCUGUUCAAUAGAACUGCAACGAUUAAUCGAUUAUUUGUCAACUGUUACAUUAAUCACUGACUGAUUUGAUAGUUAAAUUAUUGGUUUGAGUCAUUUUUUACUUAAACAAAUAGCUGAAUUCUCUGAUUUAAACUUCUUAAAUGUGAUUAUUUUCUGCUUUCUUUCCUUCUCUACAACAGUAAACUAAAUAUUUUUGUGCUGAGGACAAAACAAGACAUUUGUUAUCUUGGGCUUUUUCACAAUUUUCUGAUAUUUUAGAGACCAAUUAAUAAUCACAGAUAAUAGUUAGUUGCAGCCAGAUACGGCAACAUUACAACCCUGAUGUUGGUUCUCAGAACAGGUUAAACCGCAGCGUUGUGUUUCAUUUCUGGCACGAAAGGCGAGUGUAAAGUGAAGCAAAACCAAACCACAUGUCAGCUGCGUUCAUCGUAUUUGAUGCUUCAGCAGCGGCAGCAUUUUAAUAGCACAGAAAUCAAGGCUGAGCUUCAAAAUUCAGCAUUAAACACAAGAUUUUACAAUGAAAUUACAAAAAUAGUCCCUCACAGAAGAAGGCAAAUCAUUUUGAGAGUAAAUAAUUACUUUUGUGGUGAAACGUAGAAAGUAUAAUCAGAAAUCUCACAUUUUGAAGAAAAAACUGCAUUAAAGUCGACCGCAGAGAGUUUAUUAAACAGGUAGACAUUAAAAUCCAUAACAACUGAAGAUGUAAUGAUUCAUUUUAAGCUUAAAAGUGUUAAAUUUGUGAGGUCAGAUACCAGUGUGGCGAGUAAAUAAUGCAGAUUACUUGCAGUAAUGGACUAAUUAUGGUGAUAUUCUGAUAUAAGAUCCAAAAAGCGACUAAAUCAACCCAUUUAAAGAGAGAACAUCCACUGAUUCCUGCUCUUUAAGGCUCCCUCUGCUACAGAUGGAUGUCUAAGAAAAGAAAAGCAGCUCUGCAGAGUCUCUGAGGUCCUUCCUUCCUCACCUCCUCUCUCAUGUCACCCAUCGCUUCCAUCAAAGAGCAGCUGCUGGGUCUCUGGUUAGUGUGGAAAUGUCUGGUUCCCGUGGCGACGGCGAAGCUGUCAGACGCAGGAAACGCUCCUUUAAACUGCUCCCAUCAUUCUGAAUGUAAAUAAAGCAUGAGAUACUACGGCCUGCUUUCAUUUCUACUACAGUUAGAGGGUUAAUAUAUAAGGUAGGUCGACGUUUUGUUCCUGUCCUUGAGCUCAUGGUCAUUUUUCUUUCUUUUUCUUACUUUUUUUUCCUUAUUUUCAAUCAAUGUGAAUGAUAUUUAAAGCUGUCGUUGUGUUUUAGAGAAUCAAGCCAGCUUAUAUGAGAUCUUUUUACACGUUCGGAGGUUCUGAUCUCAUCCAUCUCAAUGUUUUUUAGACCGGUGCAGGUAAAGGCAACGUUCAUUUGAUGCUAAACAUUACAGUGAGCUACGUGUGUCACUGCCUUGUUGAAAACUCACCAAUGGAAAAAUGUUGUUUGUUGAGCCUCUCAUUCUGGGAGGCGUAGAAGAUCAAAAAUAAAAGUGUUUUGAAAGGUU
This is a long non-coding RNA of Amphiprion ocellaris (clown anemonefish), 2782 nucleotides long. The record is from Ensembl. Lineage: Eukaryota; Metazoa; Chordata; Actinopteri; Pomacentridae.